AGCAGCCGCGGUAAUUCCAGCUCCAAUAGCGUAUAUUAAAGUUGUUGCAGUUAAAAAGCUCGUAGUUGAAUUUCGGAAUCAAUGGAUCGGUCAUGCCACUCGGUGUGUACUGGUUUGAUUGGUUCUCACCUUCUAAGGAACCGUGAUGUCAUUAAUUUGGUGUCGCGGGGAAUUAGGACUGUUACCUUGAAAAAAUUAGAGUGUUUAAAGCAAGCUCACGCUUGAAUACAUUAGCAUGGAAUAAUGAAAUAGGACAUUGUAUUCUAUUUUGUUGGUUUCUAGGAUCGAUGUAAUGAUUAAUAGGGAUAGUUGGGGGCAUUAGUAUUCAAUUGUCAGAGGUGAAAUUCUUGGAUUUAUUGAAGACUAACUACUGCGAAAGCAUUUGCCAAGGAUGUUUUCAUUAAUCAAGAACGAAAGUUAGGGGAUCGAAGACGAUCAGAUACCAUCGUAGUCUUAACCAUAAACUAUGCCGACUAGGGAUCGGAUGAUGUUAAUUUUUAUGUACUC
Molecule: ribosomal RNA, 507 nt
Filed under: uncultured Glomus
Lineage: Eukaryota; Fungi; Glomeromycota; Glomeromycetes; Glomerales; Glomeraceae
Description: SSU rRNA
Rfam family: Eukaryotic small subunit ribosomal RNA
Source: RNAcentral